UGCGUAGGCGGGUCUUUAAGUCAGGGGUGAAAUCCUGGAGCUCAACUCCAGAACCGCCUUUGAUACUGAAGAUCUUGAGUUCGGGAGAGGUGAGUGGAACUGCGAGUGUAGAGGUGAAAUUCGUAGAUAUUCGCAAGAACACCAGUGGCGAAGGCGGCUCACUGGCCCGAUACUGACGCUGAGGCACGAAAGCGUGGGGAGCAAACA
Molecule: ribosomal RNA, 207 nt
Filed under: uncultured bacterium
Lineage: Bacteria
Description: partial 16S ribosomal RNA
Rfam family: Bacterial small subunit ribosomal RNA
Source: RNAcentral